This 124-nucleotide small nuclear RNA is filed under the name Sorex araneus (European shrew). RNAcentral describes it as "U2 spliceosomal RNA (ENSSARG00000020285.1)". The stretch from base 1 to 86 matches the Rfam family "U2 spliceosomal RNA". From Rfam's summary of the family: U2 is a small nuclear RNA (snRNA) component of the spliceosome (involved in pre-mRNA splicing). Complementary binding between U2 snRNA (in an area lying towards the 5' end but 3' to hairpin I) and the branchpoint sequence (BPS) of the intron results the bulging out of an unpaired adenosine, on the BPS, which initiates a nucleophilic attack at the intronic 5' splice site, thus starting the first of two transesterification reactions that mediate splicing. The record is from RNAcentral. Lineage: Eukaryota; Metazoa; Chordata; Mammalia; Eulipotyphla; Soricidae.
AUCGCUUCUCGGCCUUUUGGCUAAGAUCAAGUGUAGUAACACUUCAAUCUUGUGUCACUGAUACUGAAACUAUUUAGCAACACUCUGAGAAAUACAAAAGAGGUACUUCUCGUAUUUACCAAGA